UGGGCAACCUGCCCCUCUCUCUGGGAUAACCCCGGGAAACCGGAGCUAAUACCGGAUACUCCGGCUGGAUCGCAUGGUCCGGCCGGGAAAGGUCCGCCGGAGAGGGAUGGGCCCGCGGCCUAUCAGCUUGCUGGUGGGGUCAUGGCUCACCAAGGCGACGACGGGUAGCUGGUCUGAGAGGACGACCAGCCACACUGGAACUGAGAUACGGUCCAGACUCCUACGGGAGGCA
RNAcentral lists this ribosomal RNA (232 nucleotides) under uncultured bacterium. RNAcentral describes it as "partial 16S ribosomal RNA". It matches the Rfam family "Bacterial small subunit ribosomal RNA", at positions 118 to 350 of the family's 1533-position model. The record is from RNAcentral.